This 498-nucleotide ribosomal RNA is filed under the name uncultured bacterium. Its description in RNAcentral is "partial 16S ribosomal RNA". It matches the Rfam family "Bacterial small subunit ribosomal RNA", at positions 28 to 507 of the family's 1533-position model. The record is from RNAcentral.
GACGAACGCUGGCGGCGUGCCUAAUACAUGCAAGUCGAGCGGACGAUUCGAAAGCUUGCUUUUGAAUCGUUAGCGGCGGACGGGUGAGUAACACGUGGGCAACCUGCCCUGUAGACGGGGAUAACACCGAGAAAUCGGUGCUAAUACCGGAUAACACGAAAUGUCGCAUGACGUUUCGUUGAAAGGCGGCGCAAGCUGCCGCUACAGGAUGGGCCCGCGGCGCAUUAGCUAGUUGGUGAGGUAACGGCUCACCAAGGCGACGAUGCGUAGCCGACCUGAGAGGGUGAUCGGCCACACUGGGACUGAGACACGGCCCAGACUCCUACGGGAGGCAGCAGUAGGGAAUCUUCCGCAAUGGACGAAAGUCUGACGGAGCAACGCCGCGUGAGCGAAGAAGGCCUUCGGGUCGUAAAGCUCUGUUGUUAGGGAAGAGCAAGUAACGUAGUAACUGACGUUACUAUGACGGUACCUAACGAGAAAGCCACGGCUAACUACGUG